GCCGCAGCCGGCGCAUGCGCGGGACGCGCUUGGCGGUGAAAGACGCUUCCUCAGCCCGCGCGGGAGACCGAGAAAUAGUAGCAGAAAAAUCUUUUCUUGCUGCUCUCCUAGAAUCUACCAACCAGAGAUUCUAAUGUGAUAUGUUUGGAAUGGAGUUAUCGACCUGCAUUUUUAAUAGGCAUCCUCCAGAAUGUUGGGGAAAAUGGAAGGAGAAAAAAAAAACAAUGCUAAAAAGCCUGGAGAUGACCACAUAUGAAAGGACCAUGUGUGCAAAGGACUGCUGGAAAAUGAAUCGGGUAGGAACCAGGAAAUAUGGUGUUGAGUUGGAUUGACCUUCCUUUGGAGAAUCUACCAGACACCUCUUAUAUUUUCUGGGAGGAGUCCCCUUUUUACUCCAGCCAUUGCUGGGGUUGCCAGUUACAUGUAGGUAUAACUUGACAAUGCCUCACUUUACAUUCACUGUUUCUCACUUUCUUCCCCAGAGUUUCUCCCUUCACUAAGUAGGAUACCUGUAGAAAUGAAUUCUGGAGCAUAUGCAAACCUGCAGAUGUGAGGGCAAUCCUUUGUCAAUGGGGUCUGGGAACUGGAAGAUAAAUGUUUCUCUCUUUCAGCUCCUGGGUGAAUAAUUCUGAGAUGUAUCCUUUCUUGUCCUCUUAGAGGAUCCCAGAGGAAUCAAGCCUCAGUUGCCCACAGUGGUGAGGAGCUAGAUUGGGUUGUGCUUCCCUCCUCCUUUUUUUAUUCUUCCCAGUCUCCCCCCGCAGCUCUUUGGGAUCAUACCUCAAAAUAAAGCACCUGUACACCGGACUUUGUCAUAGGUUCUGCUUUUGUGGGGAGCCUAGGCUAAGACAGGAGUCAAACAGAAGACAUUUUUUGGAAAACUUUUGUGUUAAUUGCAACUUUCUAUAAAUACACUUACCCUGAGAUGCUCUCUCCUUGCUGAAAGACCUCCAUUAGUUCUUUAUGGGCUGAGUAAUAAAGACCUAGAUCCUUAAAGCAAGACACUUUACACUGUCACCCUGUCUACCUCUUGAACAACUAUAAACCAGUGCUUUAAUUUCUCCCAAAUAUACGAUUCACAUUUUUGCCUUGUGUGUGUGUUUCUCCCAAGGAUUAACUCAUAUAUCCUCCUGGAAGCCUUCCUCAACAAUUUAGCAUGUAACAUUCCUGCCUCCUAUGCACCCUUGCUACCCUUUUUGUUUGGAUUGCUUAUUUGGUAUGUAUGCCAUGUUGUCACAAAUUAUUAUUUAUCUCUUUAUUUAUAUGUUCUGACUAAACUUCAUUAUAAUCAUCUGUGGGAAUAGAUUGUAUCUUAUAAUUCAGUAUCUCCAGCGGUACCUCACACAAUGCCCUGAACAAUAAAUGCUACCCGUGCUGAGACUGACAUUGUGGUGACAUGAUCUAAACCAGUGUUUAUCAAAAUGUAUUCAUGGGGUAUUAAUAGGCAUUAUAAGAACAAAAGUGUUUUAUGUUCAAUUAACUUGGGAAACCCUGGAAGACUUCUUUGAAUCUUUAAAUUAACAAACCUUUGUUGCAAAUCUCUAAGAGAAAAACACAAUAUGUAGUUUUUCCAAACUUGCUAAGCCAUAGACAUUUUUUUCGUGAAGCAUUUCCUUAGGCUAGUCUCCUGAAAGGCAUGUUUAAACUGUUUCUAAAUAUAUUGAUUGAUACACUACAUAGAAAUUCCUGGGAUCUAUGCAGAAUGAGGGUAUAGCAGGUAGAAGUAGCUCACAGAGAGAAAUAAUAUAUGGCAUGAGAGAGGCUUAUAAUAUACAUGAAGAGAGAAAAUAUUCACAUCCUAAAAAUCACUAAUGAACAUUGAUCAGGAAUAUCUGUUCCAAUACCUCAAAUAUAUUUUUGGCAUGUACUUAAAUUGCAUAUUUUUCUUUUUAAAAUUUUUAAUGUAAUAAAUUAUACUAAUAGAUUUCUUAAAAUUGGGAAAUGUUACUUUCUGGAAUAAACUUUGCUUAGUUAUAGAAUAUAACUAUUUUAACACAUUGCUAGAUUUAAUUUGUUAAUAUCUGGUUUCAGAUUUUAAUUAUAAGCAUUCUAGUUUUCUUAUUGGAAUAUGUUUGUCAGGUUUUGGCAUUAAUAUUAUGAUAGAACUGUAAAUUGAGUUGGGAAGGCUUCUAUUGUUGUUCCUUGACUUUAGAGACAACUCACCCACAAACAUCCUGAAUCUGGUACCAUUUUUAAUUGUAGAGCUUGUGUGUGUGUGUGUGUGUGUGUGUGUAUUUCAAAUUCUGCAGCUGUUGGGUUGUUUAGGUGUUCUACUUAUUUAGUUAAUUUGGGGAAUUUAUAUUUUGAUAGAACAUCAUUUGUUUCCUUUAGAUUUUAAAGUGUGUUGUCAUAAGAAAAGUGGUAGCGGGGAGGGGCUGAGAUGACUGACUAGAAGCAGUUGCCACCAGAGGCUCCCACUGAGAGAAUGAAAAUGGCCAAUGAAUCCUGCACCGGCAACUGAGGUAUCCAGAUUCUCUCAUUGGACUAGGCAGUGGGCGCGACCCUUGGAGAGUGAGGAAAAGCAGGGUGGAGCAAUGCCCCUCCCGGGAGCGCAGGGGAAGGGGAGCUCCCACCCCCAGCCAAGGGAGGGGGUGAGUGAUUGUGCUACCCCCCCCACAGGAAACCACAUUUUUUCCACAGAUCUGUGCAACCCACAGGUCAGGAUAUCCCCCCUGUGAGUCCAUGCCACCAGGGCCUUGGGUCCCAAGCACAGAGCUGUGAAGAUUCUUGGUGGCCACUUGACGGGAGGCUGCCUGAGACUACUGAGUUUCCAGUGGGAGGGUUGACCACUAUCACUGCGGUUUCCUGCUGCCUAAGGUGACUGAGCUCCUGGGGAAAGGGGAAGGAGCCAUCACUGCAGCUGCAGUCUGCCGUUUUUCCCCUGCCAGUGCUGGGGAGACUGGAUGAUUUGGACUCAGAAGGAAUUCCCCAUGGCACAGCACAGCAGCUAUGGCAGAUUGUGGCCAGACUGCUUCUCUAGGCUGGACCCUGACCUAUCCCUUCUUGCUGGGCAGGGCCUCCCUGUGGGAACUUCAGCAACUCCAACCAGGGGUUUACAGACAGAACUCUGAUCUGCCUGGGACAGAGCCCCAGGGAGGAGGGGCAGUCUCCACAGAUGAGCAAACUUAGUCUUUCCCCCUGCUGGCUCUGAGGAAUCCGGGCAGUCCUGAUGAGUGGGAUUCCCCACAGUGCAGUGCAUCCCCUCUGCCAAGGGGCAGCCAGAGUGCUUUGUUAAGGGGUUUCCUGAUCCUGUGCUUCCUGACUGGAUGAGACCACUCUCCCACUCCCUGCCCACCCACAGGGGUUGCCAGGCACCUUAUACAGGAGCAUUUCUGCUGGCAUCAGGUCAGUCCCCUUCUGGGACACAGCUCCCAAAGGAAGGAGCAGGCAGCCAUCUUCGCUGUUCUGCAGCCUCCAGGGGUGAUACCUCCAGGUAUGGGAGGGACCCAGGCAAACAGGGUCUGGAGUGGACCCCUAGCAAACUGCAGAAACCUUAUGGAAGAAGGGCCUGACUGUUAAAAGAAAAACAAACAAACAAGCAGAAAACAACAAUAAC
This is a long non-coding RNA of Cercocebus atys (sooty mangabey), 3553 nucleotides long. RefSeq lists it as uncharacterized. The transcript has 3 exons. The record is from RefSeq and is a predicted model, not a curated record. NCBI's taxonomy places the organism in Eukaryota, Metazoa, Chordata, Mammalia, Primates, Cercopithecidae.